This is a long non-coding RNA of Perognathus longimembris pacificus (Pacific pocket mouse), 724 nucleotides long. RefSeq lists it as uncharacterized. The record is from RefSeq and is a predicted model, not a curated record. NCBI's taxonomy places the organism in Eukaryota, Metazoa, Chordata, Mammalia, Rodentia, Heteromyidae. The transcript is spliced from 3 exons.
CAUAUUGAACUCGUUAGUUUAAAGAUUUAGGAUGAUCUUAAAGCAGCCAGUGAGGGAAACAAAGAAGGCCCUCCGCGAAACAGAGGUGAAGCCUUAGCUGGUCCUGGCGAAAGACGGCUCAGGAGGAAAGGCGGGGAAGGAGGUGUCCUGGGACGACCUUUCUUCAGAGGAAGCCAAGAGGGUGGGGCUGCCCUUUAGCAUAUCAUCUGAUAUGUUUGUGACCAGGCCUGCGGACCAUGCUGCUGUUUGUAGGUCGGUUACUAGGCAGUGAUUCGAACAGCCUCAGCAGAGUCAAACCCAGGGGUGAGUUGAGGCCACCAGUUUCUGGAAAACACCUUCUGGCAGCUUCUCAAGGCUGGGCUAGGGCAGACAUUGGCUCAGAAGGUCAAAGAGGAGGGCGGAGGGGCUCUCUGCAGGAGACUGGAGCCUUUGGCAGCAACAUGCUUGCCUAAAUAGAAAUGGCCCCUGGCGCCCACCAGCGUCAGAAGGUUCUAGAGUUGGAAGAGAUGGUGUGCUUAGGCAUCUGAUAGGAAGUGGCUACCCUGGGCAGUCACUCCCGCCAGGCCAGGAUGGAAGGACAGGCUAAUCGUCCUUCUGUUGUGAAAGAAAAUAUUUGCCUCACCCCAUCACCGGAAUGUUAAUUGAUAUAAUCAAUAGAAAUUGGAACAUUACUAUGUUAAACACAAACUGUCUCUUUUUGCCCCAGGUGCUGUGCUAUACCACC